GAGAUGCAGGAAAUGUGAAAACUGCUAUGUUUCUGUUUCCACAGCAAGAGAUGAUGAGCCUUCUGGAUAAUCUGCAAGGUUAAAACAUGAAGAUGAUCAAAUGCCCCCGUGCCUUAUAUGGCCUUUUGGGAGAGCACACUCUGAAUCAGCUUGCUGAAUGUACAGGUUAUUUGUCAUGGCAGCAGAAAGUACCAGAUUGAAAAUAAAUCAGAAAUUUCUUCUACUGUGAGCAGUAUUAAUGGGUGUCAUACAAAGAAAGUUUUAUCCAAAUAAAGAAAGAGGAAACAGGCUACAAUAUAUAAAACAUUGAAUAUACUAGAGUCAGAUGUCAGUAUUUUUUCAGGACAAGUGUUCAGCAUUUCACAGGAAGGAGAUUAAUUCCCCCCAGUCCUGAUUAUCAUUAACACUGGAAGGUUGUAUUAGCACACUCAAGAAAAUUUUUGUUUUUGUAUUAUACCUUUACUUGAUAAAAAUAUGACUUCUAGGAUAUAUUCUAUAAAAAUUAUCAAAAUAAAGAGGCAAUUUAUAGUCACAUUAGCUCAAGGGAAAAGCUGCUGUUUAGUUAAGAAAAGUUCAGUUCUUUUAUUGCUAGAUUUUUUUUUUUUGAGACAGGGUCUCACUCUGUUGCCCAGGCUGGAGUGCAGUUGUGUGGUCAAUUUACUCCAGCCUUGACCUCCUGGGCUCAAGCGAUCCUCCCACCUCUCAGCUUCCUGAGUAGCUGGGACUACAGAUGCACAUCACGACACCCAGUUACUUUUUGUAGUUUUUCACAGAGAAGAGGUUUCACCAUGCUGCCCAGGCUGGUCUCAAACUCCUGGGCUCAAGCAGUCUGCCAGCCUCAGUCUCCCACAGUGCUGGGAUUACAGGCAUGAGCCACUGCACCUGGCCAGCUGCAUUCUUUUAAAAUUAUUUUUCUUGUCAUGGUUACUAUACUGAUAGAGAGUAACUGGAAUAAGCUAUGCAUAAUUAUCAUGUACCCCGGGGCUUCAUUGUGACCUGGAGCUCUCUACUGGAUUUUCAAACCAGGCUGACAGAAGAGCUCAGUGAGGAGAGAAACUGACUUUACCUUCCUUACUAGGAAAUAAAGGAACUACACCUAAUGGAUAGAGGUCAUAUAAUUAAAAUUGACAGUUCCUCUUUGGAAGUUUCCAAAUUUGGGAUGAGCAGAGCUCCCAUUGUUUACUAGAGCCUAGGAAAAACAGAGCCUAAGGCACCAUCUACUACUGAAAAGAAGACAGUGACCUAGUGAGGAAAAAAACGAAAUCCAACAGGCAAAUUACAAAGAAUAUCUAAGCAAACAUAAUGAAUAAAAACCAAAACAAGAUAGACAGAGAAGACUGGAAUAAAUAACUAAUUCUUCAAUGCAAAAACAGACAUGCAUACACAAGAAGUAAUACUGAACAGGGAACCAUAACCUUCCCAAAUGGACAAAGCAAGGAACCAGUGACUGACCCUAAUGAGACAGCAAUAUUUGAGCCCUCUGAUCAGCAAUUCAAAAUGGCAAUAUUAUGGAAACUCAGUGAUUUCCAAGAUAACACAGAGAAGCAAUUCAGAAAUUUAUCAGAAAAAAUUAACAAAAAAUUUAAAUAGAAAAAAUCAGACAGAAAUCAUGAAACUUAGAAAUACAUUUGCUAAUCUGAAAAAAAUCAUUAGAGGGUCUCAAUAACAAAAUGGAGCUGAAGAAAGAAUUAGUGAGCUCAAAGAAAAGCUUUUUGAAAAUAAAGGAGAGAAAAAGAAUGAAAAGGAAAAGAGAUCACCUACAAGAUACAGAAAACUGCCUCAAAACGUCAAAUGUAAGAAUUAUUUGUGUACAAGAGGGAGUUGAGCAACAGCAAGGGGAUCAAAAGCAUAAUUCAAUAAAUAAUAACAAAAACUUUCCAAAACUUGAGAAAGAUAAAUAUCCAGGUAUAGGAAAGUCAGAGCACAUCAAACAGAUUCAACCAAAGUCGUCUACCCCACAGGCACAUAAUAGUCAAACUACCCCAAGGCAUAUAAUAGUCAAACUCUCAAAGGUCAAGGUGAAACAGAAGAUCCUAAAUACAGCAAGAGAAAAGAUGUGCAUAACAUAUAAAGGAGCUUCAAUUUAUUUGGCAACAGACUUCUCAAUGGAAACCAUACAGGCCAGGAGGGAGUAGAAUGACAUUUUCAAACUACUGAGGGGCAGGGAGCAGGAAGCUACCAUCCAAGAAUACUGUAUCCAGCAAAGUUAUCCUUCAUAAAUAAAGCAGAGAUAAAGUCUUUCCCAGAUAAACAAAAGCUGAGAGAAUUAACCAUCACCAGACCAAUCUUACAAGAAAUGGUAAAGGAGCUCUUCAAUUUGAAAGCAUGCAAAAAGAGAACAUUUGAAGGUGUACAAUCCACUGGUAAAAUUAAGUACAUGGACAAACCCAGAGUACUCUACUACUGUAAUUGUGUAAUCAACUCAAAACUCUAGUAUGAAGCCCAGAAGACAAAUCUGUCAAAAACAAUAAUCACUGAAAAAACCUGUUAAAAGAUAGGUAGUAUACAAAUACAUAAGUAGAGAUGAUUAAAAUCAAAACGUAGAGAGGAUGAAGUUAAAUUGUAGAAUUUUUUUCUUUGUUUCUAUUAUUUUCUUUGUGGUUUAAGAUAAGCUGUCCUCUCUUUAAAAUAACUUGUUUCAUCUACGACAUAUUUUUUGGUAAGCCUCAUGGUAGCCAGAAUGCAAAAACCUGAACUCAAAAUAGCUGUUUUGAGGAAGCUCAAUGAAAAUCAAGAUAACACAGAGAAAGAAUUCAGAAUCUUACCGGAUAAAUUUUAAAAUGGGAUGGAAAUAAUUAAAAGGAACCAAGCAGAAAUUCUUGAGCUGAAAAAUUCAAUUGACUACUGACGAAUGCAGAAGGGUUUCUUAACAGCAGAAUUGACUAAACAGAAGAAAGAAUUAGUGAGCUUGAGGACAGGCUACUUGAAAAUACACACAGAGAAGAGACAGAAAAAGGAAUAAAGAAAAAAGCACACUCACAAGAUCUAGAAAAUAGCCUAAAACUGGCAAAUCUAAGAGUUAUUGGCCUUAAAGAGGAGGUAGAGAGAAAGAUAGGGGUAGAAAGUUUAUUCAAAGGAAUAAUGACAGAACUUCCCAAACCUAGAGAAUGACAUUAAUAUUCAAUUACAAGAAGGUGAUAGAAGACCAAACAGAUUUAAGCCAAAUAAGACUACAUCGAGACAUUUGAUAAUAAAACUUCCAAAGGUGAAAAAUAAAGAAAGGAUCCUAAAAGCAGCAAGAAACAAAUAACAUACAAUGGCACUUCAAUAUAUCUUGCAGAAGACUUUUCAGUGGAAACCUCACAGGCCAGGAGAGACUGGCAUGAAAUAUUUAAAGUGUUGAAGGAAUAAAAUCCCUUUUUACCCUAGAAUAGUAUAUAUAGCAAAAGUAUUCUUUAAACAUGUAGGAGAAAUAAAGACUUUCCCAGAAAAACAAAAACUGAAGAAUUACAUCAACAGCAGAAGUGUUCUAUAAGAAAUGCUAAAAGGAGUUCUUUGAUGUGAAAGAAAAGAAUGUUAAUGAGCAAAAAUAAAUAAUUUGAAGGUACAAAACUCACUGGUAAUAGCACAAAGAAAACACAGAAUAUUGUAACACUGUAGGUGUGAUAAGUAAACUACUCAUAUCUUGAGUAGAAAGACUAAAAGAUGAACUGAUCAAAAAUAACUAUAACAACUGUUGAGGGCAUAGGCAGUACAAUAAGAUAUAAAUAAUAGACAUAAAAAAAUUAAAAGCAUGAGGAUGAAGUUCAGUUGUAGUUUUUAUUAGUUUUAUCUUUGUUUGUUUAUGCAAUUAGUGUUGUCAUCAGUUUAAAAUAAUGGGUUAUAUUACUGCAAGCCUUACAAUUUGUAUUAGUCAGGGUUCUCUAGAGGGACAGAACUAAUGGAAUAUAUCUAUAGGGGAUUUUAUUAUUAACUCACAUGAUCACAAGGUCCCAAAAUAGGCUGUCUGCAGGCUGAGGAGAAAGGAGAGCCAGUCUAAGUUCCAAAACUGAAGAACUUGGAGUCCGACAUUCAAAGACAGAAAGCAUCCAGCAUGAGAGUAAGAUGUAGGCUGGGAGGCUAGGCCAGUCUCUCUUUUCACAUUUUUCUGUCUGCUUAUAUUCUAGCCACACGGACAGCUGAUUAGAUUGUGCCCACUCAAAUUAAGGGUGGGUCUGCCUUUCCCAGCCCACUGACUCAAAUGUUAAUCUCCUUUGGCAACACUGUCACAGAAACACCCAGGAUCAAUACUUUGUAUUAUUCAAUCCAAUCAAGUUGACCAGUAUUAACCAUCACAAGUCCACCUUUUGUCAACUUGAACCCAUACACAUCUCCUGAGAUCAUACGUAAUAUUCAAAUAUAGAUGAUAAUAAGGACUUAGAUAUACCAAACAUAAUACAACUAUCCUUUGUACAACUGCAAUUGCACCAAUCCCCAACCCAAAUACUAUUACAUAAAGUUAACAAUACUUAAAUGUUGAUGUGAAGUCAAUAAAUUUUAUGUCACAUGAUAAAGGAGAAAGGAAAUAAAAUGAAGACAUUUUCUUAGUACAAGUGUAUAUAUGCACAAACAUUUUUUUUUUAGCAAAAGAAGUAGGAAAUACUCAUGACAAGUACAAUCUUCAUUUCUCCAGCUGGUCACGUGGUUGUAGCUGGUACUGACGACUACCUUCUUCUACAACCCAUUCUGUAUUCCCUGUGCCUUCAGCAAGCACUUCAGUAGGUCGUGUUUUUUUUUCCUGAUAAAGUGACCCAAACCUUCAUUCCUGAAGGGUCUGGGUCAUUUGUAGUCCUGCCUGGAUUGUGCUGUUGUAGUUUCCCAUUGACCAUAAUCACAGGGCAUGGUAAUACUAACAGACACCCUAAUGGAUCUCCUGUAUUCCAUGCAUACUCUUCCUUACAUCCAUUGUGCAGUAGUAGACUGAUUUCAUCUUGAUAGUCUGGGUCAAUCACCCCAGUCAACACUGUAACUCCAUUCUUAGCCUAUUGACUUAAAGGUAGGAGAAGCCCAAAAUGUCCAGGUGGCAAUCAUAACUUCCUGUUUAAUGGAAUCCUUGUUGUGUCUCCUGGUGGCAGCAUUCCUCCCUCUGAAAUAAGACUCUCACUCAGGGCAAUCUUAGCAGAUUUGAGACUUUGUAUCUGCUUCUGAAGCUGGGAGACAGAAUCCUUGAGUUCAUCAUUUUCUUUCACCAGUUUUUCCACUGAACUUAGGAGCAGCCAACCAGCUUCAUUAUGUUCCUUGGUUCUCCACAUAAGGUCAAAGGUAUUAUGUAUAGAGUCACUAAACUCCUUGCCUCUCAUGAGCAAUAAAUCAGGAGUGUCGAGUGUAUUUAUUUUGCUAACUCUCUAAACAUUUCAUGCCAAGGACCAUCAGUGUUCUCCAUACUAUUAGAAGUAGAGUCCUUAACAUUGUGUCUAAUCAUAUUAAGCAGCCAAUCACAGAAACCCCCAAACCAACAAAAGAACUCCAUCCUUAAUAUUCUGUUCUUCUAGAACCACUCCUGGUACCAAAAUCUGUAUUAGUCAGGGUUCUCUAGAGAAACAGAACUAAUGGAAUUAUAUAUAUGAGUUUAUUAAAUAUUAUACCACCACAAGGUCCACAAUAGGCUGUCUGCAGGCUGAGGAGCAAGGAGAGCCAGCCCGAGUUCCAAAACUGAAGAACUUGGAGUCUGAUGUUUGAGGGCACAAAGCAUCCAGCAUGGGAGAAAGAUGUAGGCUGGGAGGCUAGGACAGUCUAUCUUUCCACAUUUUUUUGCCUACUUAUAUUCUAGCCACGCUGGCAGCUGAUUAGAUUGUGCCCACCCAAAUUAAGAAUGAGUCUGCUGUUCCCAACCCACUGAUUCUCAAAUGUUAACCAACUUUGGCAACACCAUCACAGACACACCAAGGAUCAAUACUUUGUAUCCUUCAAUCCACUCAAGCAAUCAAGUUGACACUCAGUAUUAACCAUCAUAUGGGUUACUGCAAAUCAAAAAACAUAUUACAGAUACACAAAAAAUAAAAAGUGAGAAAUUAAAACAUACCACAAGAGAAAAUCAACUUUACUUAAAAGAAGACAGGAAGGACAAAAAACAAAAACAAAAACAAAACAAAACAAAACAAAAAC
This is a long non-coding RNA of Symphalangus syndactylus (siamang), 6084 nucleotides long. RefSeq lists it as uncharacterized. Lineage: Eukaryota; Metazoa; Chordata; Mammalia; Primates; Hylobatidae. The record is from RefSeq and is a predicted model, not a curated record.